CUUGACCUCGGAUCAGGUAGGGAUACCCGCUGAACUUAAGCAUAUCAAUAAG
RNAcentral lists this ribosomal RNA (52 nucleotides) under Torula herbarum. Its description in RNAcentral is "partial 28S ribosomal RNA". Lineage: Eukaryota; Fungi; Ascomycota; Dothideomycetes; Pleosporales; Torulaceae. RNAcentral also lists the same sequence under 5 other names. The record is from RNAcentral.